AGGAUGAACGCUGGCGGCGUGCCUAACACAUGCAAGUCGAACGUCCUGUCUCGCAAGAGGCAGGGAGUGGCGGACGGGUGAGUACCACGUGGGUCAUCUACCGUGAGGUGAGGAAUACCGGCGAGAAAUCGCCGACAAGACCGCAUAGGCUCGAUGCAAGUCGAGCAAAGCUCUUUCGAGAGAGGGAGCGCCACACGAGGAGCCUGCGCCCGAUUAGCUAGCUGGUGGAGUAACGGUUCACCAGGGCGACGAUCGGUAGCUGGUCUGAGAGGACGAUCAGCCACACUGGGAUUGAGAACGGCCCAGACUCCUACGGGGGCAGCAGUGAGGAAUUUUCGCAAUGGGGGCAACCCUGAACGAGCAACGCCGCGUGCAGGAGAAGGUUUCGGAUCGUAAACUGCUUUUCUCGGGGACGAGAACGGACGGUACCCGAGGAAUCAGCCCCGGCUAACUACGCGCCAGCAGCCGCGGU
RNAcentral lists this ribosomal RNA (472 nucleotides) under uncultured bacterium. RNAcentral's name for it is "SSU rRNA". It matches the Rfam family "Bacterial small subunit ribosomal RNA", at positions 26 to 521 of the family's 1533-position model. The record is from RNAcentral.